GGGGGGAUAGGUGAGUUGU
RNAcentral lists this transfer RNA (19 nucleotides) under Corallorhiza wisteriana. RNAcentral's name for it is "partial tRNA-Phe". The record is from RNAcentral. Lineage: Eukaryota; Viridiplantae; Streptophyta; Magnoliopsida; Asparagales; Orchidaceae.